RNAcentral lists this ribosomal RNA (442 nucleotides) under uncultured Pseudomonadota bacterium. RNAcentral's name for it is "bacterial SSU rRNA". It matches the Rfam family "Bacterial small subunit ribosomal RNA", at positions 338 to 795 of the family's 1533-position model. The record is from RNAcentral. Lineage: Bacteria; Pseudomonadati; Pseudomonadota.
CCUACGGGAGGCAGCAGUGGGGAAUAUUGCGCAAUGGGCGAAAGCCUGACGCAGCGACGCCGCGUGGGUGAUGAAGGCCUUCGGGUUGUAAAGCCCUGUCGGGAGGGACGAAGUUCUGACGGUACCUCCCAAGAAAGCACCGGCUAACUCCGUGCCAGCAGCCGCGGUAAUACGGAGGGUGCGAGCGUUGCUCGGAAUUAUUGGGCGUAAAGCGUACGCAGGCGGCUCGACAAGUCGAGUGUGAAAUCCCGGGGCUCAACCCCGGACAUGCAUUCGAGACUGCCGAGCUUGAGUGCGGGAGAGGGAAGCGGAAUUCCUGGUGUAGAGGUGAAAUUCGUAGAUAUCAGGAGGAACACCGGUGGCGAAAGCGGCUUCCUGGCCCGACACUGACGCUCAUGUACGAAAGCGUGGGGAGCAAACAGGAUUAGAUACCCCUGUAGUC